AGCGCAGGCGGUUAUUUAAGUCUGAAGUUAAAGGCCGUGGCUCAACCAUGGUUCGCUUUGGAAACUGGAUAACUUGAGUGCAGAAGGGGAGAGUGGAAUUCCAUGUGUAGCGGUGAAAUGCGUAGAUAUAUGGAGGAACACCGGUGGCGAAAGCGGCUCUCUGGUCUGUAACUGACGCUGAGGCUCGAAAGCGUGGGGAGCAAACA
RNAcentral lists this ribosomal RNA (206 nucleotides) under uncultured bacterium. Its description in RNAcentral is "partial 16S ribosomal RNA". It matches the Rfam family "Bacterial small subunit ribosomal RNA", at positions 568 to 774 of the family's 1533-position model. The record is from RNAcentral.